RNAcentral lists this long non-coding RNA (1234 nucleotides) under Homo sapiens (human). Its description in RNAcentral is "uncharacterized LOC105372321, transcript variant 8 (LOC105372321)". The record is from RNAcentral. Lineage: Eukaryota; Metazoa; Chordata; Mammalia; Primates; Hominidae.
GUCUCUUGCUCCAGCCAGAGCUCGAGGUUAGCUCUUCACUGCCCUGUGUCUUCUUUCCAAGGGUCUCGGUGAUUCGGCCACAGCCUCAGCCUCCAUCACGCGGUGAACUGAUGGUGCUGGAAGAUUCAUAGACUCCAGGACAUUCCUGAAGCCGAGAAAAGGUUAAGUAGGGUCUGGCCUGGAAUACUCUCCUAGAUGAAGAUAGCCCAACCAUGAGCCACCUUCGAAGCAGAUGAGAUGAAAUUAAAGCUCUUCAACUCCUAAAGGCCCAGAGACUAUCACAAAAGAGGUCAGAAAUCCUGAAGGUCACUUUCUGACAAACUCAGGAACCCCAGGUUUAUCUUGGAGCCUCAAGAGGAGAUAAAUUCACCCAACUCAGAGUUUUGCUCUUGGUGCCCAGGCUGGAGUGCAUUGGCACGAUCUCUGGCUCACUGUGACCUCUGCCUCCCAGAUUCAAGUGAUUCUCCUGCCUCAGCCUCCUGAGUAGCUGGGAUUACGGGCAUGUGCCCCCAUGCCUGGCUAAUUUUGAAUUUUUAGUAGAAACAGGGUUUCUCCAUGUUGGUCAGGCUGGUCUUGAACUGCCAACCUCAGGUGAUCUGCCCACUUUGGCCUCCCAAAGUGCUGGGAUUACAGGCAUGAGCCACCGAGCCUGGCCUGAUUGUACUUUUAUAUAAUAAAAUGCAGUACAUUUAUAAAUUUUAGAUUAUGUGUGAAGUUAAUAGUUUAAUUCAACAUUUUUAACAUGUUAAAUACUAUUGUGCAUUCAAUGAAGCGUUAUUAUGCCACAAACUUUAACCUCUUUCACCUUACUCAAGGGUAUAGGUAAAAGAUGGUAACAAUAUACUGUUUAGUAAGAUAAUAGAUUAACAUCUCUAGUGAUUUUUUUUUUUUGCCAGUGGCUUUCAACUGCAAAUAAGUUAAAGAAUAUUGUUUCUGUAGGUAAAUUUUUAUUCUGUUUUUAAUCAUUUAAAUUUAUUUUAAUUUUGGUGGCUGCAUGAGUAUCUAUGCAAUAUAUGGCAUGUUUUAAUACAGGAAUACAAUAUAUAAUAAUAAUAUCAGCAUUAAGUGAGGCAUCCUUCACCUGUAGCAUUUAUCCUAUGUUUUAUAAUCCAAUUCUACACUUUUUUUUAAAUUUAAAAUGUACAAUUAAAUUGUUAUUUACUACAGGGUUAUUUUUAUGGUCAUAAUAAAAAUUAUAUAUGAGUAUAAAUAAAAUUCAUUGUUAAAUUCUUAA